RNAcentral lists this unclassified non-coding RNA (183 nucleotides) under uncultured fungus. Its description in RNAcentral is "partial contains 18S rRNA, ITS1, 5.8S rRNA, ITS2 and 28S rRNA". The record is from RNAcentral. Lineage: Eukaryota; Fungi.
AAGGAUCAUUAAUGAAUUACCGAGUGGCACACCUGUGUGCGCUCACCCCUUUCAUUUCCAACUCUUGUGCAUUGUAUGUCCGUCGUCCGGCUCACGCCGACACGGCUCACCCUUUCAAACACCAGUCAAUGUAUGUCAUUUAAAAAACAAAUAAAACUUUCAACAACGGAUCUCUUGGCUCUC